RNAcentral lists this long non-coding RNA (2028 nucleotides) under Capra hircus (goat). RNAcentral's name for it is "lncRNA (ENSCHIG00010026532.1)". The record is from RNAcentral. Lineage: Eukaryota; Metazoa; Chordata; Mammalia; Artiodactyla; Bovidae.
GGAUAUUUCUCAGUGUGAAACUAGCCAGACUCAUAAGAACGGUCCCGUUAGCACAGUGGAUAAGAAUCUGCCUGCCAGGGCAGGGGAUAUGCAGGUUCAGUCCCUAGUCCGGGAGGAUUCCACAUGCUGAGGAGCAGCUAAGCCCGUAUGCCACAGCUGCUAAGCCCUAGAGCCUGUGCUCCACAGCGAGAACCCACUACAUGAGAAGCCAGCACGUCACAGCUAGAGAGUAGCCUCUGCUCUCCGCAACUAGAGAAAGUCUUUGUGCGGCAAUGAAGACCCAGCGUAGCCAAAAAUAAAUAUAUAAAUGAAUGGAGCAGUGCGAACAUGUAAAAACAAGAAUGGUCCCUUUAGUACUGUUCGAAACCACUGUGUCAGCCCAGCAAAGACUUAGAUGAACAUUCCUCAGUGUCAUGAUACUUGAGAUUUGCUUAAAAAAUAUUAGAAGUAGGUGACAGGGUAAACAAGGCUGACCAUAAAUUGAUAAUUAUUAAAGUUGGAUAAUGAGUACAUGGGGGUUCAUUAUAAAAUUGUAUUUUUAAUACAUUUGGAAUUUUCAAUAACAAAAAGGUUUUUUAAAGUGUUUAAAGAAGAUCAUUCAAGUAGAAGUCACAAAUCUUGGUUAUUAAUCUUGGUUAUUCAUCAGGUUUUUGAUCCUGAUUUGUUGACCAAAUUGAAGCAAGAAAUUUUAUGUGCUUCAGGGUUCAUCUAUAAUACAGAGUUCAUCCCUAAAAUCCAACAAUCUCUUCAAUUCUAAGUUGGUUUCUUACUUUGGUUCAGAGUGCUUUUAAAGAGGACUCAAAUAGGGGAUUUCGUGGCUGUGAUUAGGCAAUUUCACUGUCAAGGCCUGGGUUCAAUCUCUGGUUGGGGAACUAAGAUCCUACAAGUUGAGCGAUGAGGCCAAAAAAUAAAUAAAACAGACUAAAAUAGAGGCUCAAUUUUUAACCCUUUUGUGUUAAGAUAUAUUCCCAUCAUAUUUGUAGCCUUAAUUGUCUUCAAAUGAAUUCAGCAUUAAAAAGCCUAAGGAGGCCACAGUCUGAACUCUGAAAAUCAUUUAUUCCAGUCCCACCUACAAAUCAGCUAUCCUUGGGCUUGGAGUUGCCCUUCCUUAAGGGCAGACAGAGACAUCUUCAAACUUCGGAAGAAAUUCAGCAGUAGGAAUAGCUGUUUGCUCCUGGAUCUACCCACUCAGGAGAUUUUAAACUUAAAAAAAAUAAAAUUAAGAUCCAGUUCAUGAUUAAAGAACUAGAUUUUUUAAGAGAAAGCUUUUAGCAAAAUGAACGAGAGUGCCGCCUGCUGGGAACAGGAGAACUUCCUAAGGCGCAUACUGAAGAGUGAGUUUCCUGGGCCCCACCCUGUUUGAAUCACCCGAGAGCCACUGGUUAAAAUGGAAUGUUCCUAGGCUCUAGACCUGUUGUAUCAGAGUCCCUGAAGGUGGGGCUCAAAAUUUUAUACUUUAUACAAGAGACAAAUGCCUUAGUUCCCAAACUUGCCUGAUAAGAAUCAUCUGGGAAUGCUUGUUUAAAAUACUUUCACCUGAAUCACACUCCAGGCUUAUAGAAUCAGGACAUCCAAAAUAGGCCCUNNNNNNNNNNNNNNNNNNNNNNNNNNNNNNNNNNNNNNNNNNNNNNNNNNNNNNNNNNNNNNNNNNNNNNNNNNNNNNNNNNNNNNNNNNNNNNNNNNNUGAAUCACACUCCAGGCUUAUAGAAUCAGGACAUCCAAAAUAGGCCCUGAUAGGAAUCACCUGGGACGGGAGGGCGAGAGCAAUAGGUGAGGGAGAUUAGGCGGUACAAGCAUCCAGUUACAAAAUAAAUGAGUCAAGGGGGUGAAAUGCUCAGCGUGGAGAAUACAGUUGAUAAUAUUGUAAUAAUUUUGUAUGGUGACAGAUGGCAACUAGACUUAUCGUGGUGACGGUUUUGUGAUGUAUAGAAACAUUGAAUCACUAGAUUGUGAACUUAGGACUAAUGGAGUGUUGUUUCAGGUCAGUAUCAGUUCAGUUCAGUUCAGUUCAGUCGCUCAGUCGUGUCC